GACAGAGGAGCCAAGCGUUGUCCGGAUUGACUGGGCGUAAAGCGCACGCAGGCGGCCCGGCGCGUGGGGUGUGAAAGCUGGCGGCUUAACUGCCAGAUGCCAUCCCAUACGGCUGGGCUCGAGCCCUGCAGACGGUCCAUGGAAUUGCCGGUGUAGUGGUGAAAUGCGUAGAGAUCGGCAGGAACACCCAGGGGGAAACCGAGUGGACUGG
RNAcentral lists this ribosomal RNA (211 nucleotides) under uncultured bacterium. RNAcentral's name for it is "partial 16S ribosomal RNA". It matches the Rfam family "Bacterial small subunit ribosomal RNA", at positions 524 to 732 of the family's 1533-position model. The record is from RNAcentral.